UCUCUGGUAGCUCAGAUGGUAAAGCAUCUGCCUGCAAUGCAGAAGACCUAGGUUUGAUCCCUAGUUCAGGAA
RNAcentral lists this transfer RNA (72 nucleotides) under Bos taurus (domestic cattle). It matches the Rfam family "tRNA". Rfam says of the family: Transfer RNA (tRNA) molecules are approximately 80 nucleotides in length. Their secondary structure includes four short double-helical elements and three loops (D, anti-codon, and T loops). Lineage: Eukaryota; Metazoa; Chordata; Mammalia; Artiodactyla; Bovidae. The record is from Rfam by way of RNAcentral. RNAcentral also lists the same sequence under 5 other names.